GACGAACGCUGGCGGCGUGCCUAAUACAUGCAAGUCGAACGCAUUUUCUUUCACCGUAGCUUGCUACACCGAAAGAAAAUGAGUGGCGAACGGGUGAGUAACACGUUGGUAACCUGCCCAUCAGCGGGGGAUAACACUUGGAAACAGGUGCUAAUACCGCAUAAUUCCAUUUACCGCAUGGUAAAUGGAUGAAAGGCGCUUUUGCGUCACUGAUGGAUGGACCCGCGGUGCAUUAGCUAGUUGGUGGGGUAACGGCCUACCAAGGCUGCGAUGCAUAGCCGACCUGAGAGGGUGAUCGGCCACACUGGGACUGAGACACGGCCCAGACUCCUACGGGAGGCAGCAGUAGGGAAUCUUCGGCAAUGGACGCAAGUCUGACCGAGCAACGCCGCGUGAGUGAAGAAGGUUUUCGGAUCGUAAAACUCUGUUGUUAGAGAAGAACAAGGAUGAGAGUGGAAAGUUCAUCCCUUGACGGUAGCUAACCAGAAAGCCACGGCUAACUACGUG
RNAcentral lists this ribosomal RNA (507 nucleotides) under uncultured bacterium. RNAcentral's name for it is "partial 16S ribosomal RNA". It matches the Rfam family "Bacterial small subunit ribosomal RNA", at positions 28 to 507 of the family's 1533-position model. The record is from RNAcentral.